Long non-coding RNA from Poecilia latipinna (sailfin molly), 622 nucleotides. RefSeq lists it as uncharacterized. The transcript is spliced from 3 exons. The record is from RefSeq and is a predicted model, not a curated record. Lineage: Eukaryota; Metazoa; Chordata; Actinopteri; Cyprinodontiformes; Poeciliidae.
UAUGCCGUUCAGAACAAAGAUGGCGGACUUCCGAGUCGCAAGCGUUAACACCGUAUUCUACAAAACAUACAAAACAUCUUCAAAGCAGCAAAACCUGGUGGAAAUAGAAAAGGACUUCUCAGAGCAGAGGAAGAAAUCCUGGGCUAAGAAUUAAACACAGCAAAAUGAAUUUCUGCUGUUCACUUGACGCCUGGGGUGGCGCAGCUGCACAGCAGCACUUGGUGCGUCAAGUCACGGUUUGGAUUCACUUCCAGAGAGCGCUUCAGGGAAACUCAGGGAGAACGAGUUUAUUUGAGAGAAUGAGACUUUAAAGAGGAAGGAAGGAUGUAAACUCAUCACUGAUUCUGACUGAAGUGAGCCUCCUACUCCAGCUCUGUGAGGAUUCACCGCAGAAAAGGAGAUUUUAUUUUUAAGGAGCACAUUUUCAGCGACAGGGAAAUUCAUCGCUCUUUACAUGGUUAAAGGGGAAAUUAAACAAGAAAUAUGGGAAAACUUUACAUUGCAGUGGCAAAGCAAAGGAAAGAGAUGAAAAGCAGUUCACAGUUUAUGAUGUUCCAGUUGUUAAUAGAAAGCAACUCUAAAUAAAUGGGAUUUUUAGCCUUGGUUUAAAGCAGGGGUCUGC